CCUACGGGUGGCAGCAGUGAGGAAUAUUGGUCAAUGGCCGAGAGGCUGAACCAGCCAAGUCGCGUGAGGGAAGACUGCCCUACGGGUUGUAAACCUCUUUUAUCGGGGAGCAAAGAGAGCCACGUGUGACUUAUUGCGUGUACCUUAUGAAUAAGCAUCGGCUAACUCCGUGCCAGCAGCCGCGGUAAUACGGAGGAUGCGAGCGUUAUCCGGAUUUAUUGGGUUUAAAGGGUGCGUAGGCGGUUGUUUAAGUCAGUGGUUAAAUGGCGGGGCUCAACCCUGUAUUGCCAUUGAUACUGUAAGACUUGAGUGCACACGAGGUAGGCGGAAUGCGUGGUGUAGCGGUGAAAUGCAUAGAUAUCACGUAGAACUCCGAUAGCGAAGGCAGCAUACCAGCGUGCGACUGACGCUGAUGCACGAGAGCGUGGGUAGCGAACAGGAUUAGAUACCCUAGUAGUC
This 459-nucleotide ribosomal RNA is filed under the name uncultured bacterium. Its description in RNAcentral is "partial 16S ribosomal RNA". It matches the Rfam family "Bacterial small subunit ribosomal RNA", at positions 338 to 795 of the family's 1533-position model. The record is from RNAcentral.